GGACCCUUAGCUCAAUCGGUAGAGCUUUGUACUUAUGCGGUUACCAUAACUUGAGAUGCAAGGGUCCCGAGUUCGAUUCUCGGAGGGUCCA
Molecule: non-coding RNA, 91 nt
Organism: Peniophora sp. CONT
Lineage: Eukaryota; Fungi; Basidiomycota; Agaricomycetes; Russulales; Peniophoraceae
Source: Rfam